AGAGCUCUCUCACUGUCACUUAUGGAGUCUAUAUUUAUGACAUUUUGCUUUCUCACAGGUAUUUGGCAGUAUCCAGUAUUGCUAAGGGUGAUGCAAUUCCUACUUCCACUCUACCCCCCGGGCCUCCUGGCAUAGAGGCUGUCUUACCAAGGCUAAUGCAAACAUUGGAAAUGACUCCUUGGAGACCGUACGAAGAUGGGCAUGGGAAAUGUAACCGACUCACUGCUGCCAAUUGGUACGGAUGGGGAAAGAGAGCCUGAUGGGAGCAUUUGGUCAAAUUGCAUGGAAAGACAUCCUAAAAGCUGUAUGAAACAGAGAAACCCUGCUGCAGAGGAGCACACCGACCUGUCACAUUCACUCCACUUCCACCUAACACCUCUGAGGCCAGUUUUUCCUCCAAGUUGUCCUGGCUGGAAAACGUGGAGCAACUGGUAA
Molecule: long non-coding RNA, 435 nt
Filed under: Anser brachyrhynchus (Pink-footed goose)
Lineage: Eukaryota; Metazoa; Chordata; Aves; Anseriformes; Anatidae
Description: lncRNA (ENSABRG00000017086.1)
Source: RNAcentral